RNAcentral lists this ribosomal RNA (896 nucleotides) under Beauveria pseudobassiana. RNAcentral describes it as "SSU rRNA". It matches the Rfam family "Eukaryotic small subunit ribosomal RNA", at positions 71 to 977 of the family's 1831-position model. Lineage: Eukaryota; Fungi; Ascomycota; Sordariomycetes; Hypocreales; Cordycipitaceae. The record is from RNAcentral.
GCAUUAUACAGCGAAACUGCGAAUGGCUCAUUAUAUAAGUUAUCGUUUAUUUGAUAGUACCUUACUACUUGGAUAACCGUGGUAAUUCUAGAGCUAAUACAUGCUGAAAAUCCCGACUUCGGAAGGGAUGUAUUUAUUAGAUUAAAAACCAAUGCCCUCUGGGCUCCUUGGUGAUUCAUAAUAACUUUUCGAAUCGCACGGCCUUGCGCCGGCGAUGGUUCAUUCAAAUUUCUUCCCUAUCAACUUUCGAUGUUUGGGUAUUGGCCAAACAUGGUCGCAACGGGUAACGGAGGGUUAGGGCUCGACCCCGGAGAAGGAGCCUGAGAAACGGCUACUACAUCCAAGGAAGGCAGCAGGCGCGCAAAUUACCCAAUCCCGAUUCGGGGAGGUAGUGACAAUAAAUACUGAUACAGGGCUCUUUUGGGUCUUGUAAUUGGAAUGAGUACAAUUUAAAUCUCUUAACGAGGAACAAUUGGAGGGCAAGUCUGGUGCCAGCAGCCGCGGUAAUUCCAGCUCCAAUAGCGUAUAUUAAAGUUGUUGUGGUUAAAAAGCUCGUAGUUGAACCUUGGGCCUGGCUGGCCGGUCCGCCUCACCGCGUGUACUGGUCCGGCCGGGCCUUUCCCUCUGUGGAACCUCAUGCCCUUCACUGGGUGUGGCGGGGAAACAGGACUUUUACUUUGAAAAAAUUAGAGUGCUCCAGGCAGGCCUAUGCUCGAAUACAUUAGCAUGGAAUAAUAAAAUAGGACGUGUGGUUCUAUUUUGUUGGUUUCUAGGACCGCCGUAAUGAUUAAUAGGGACAGUCGGGGGCAUCAGUAUUCAAUUGUCAGAGGUGAAAUUCUUGGAUUUAUUGAAGACUAACUACUGCGAAAGCAUUUGCCAAGGAUGUUUUCAUUAAU